AUUGAACGCUGGCGGCAUGCCUUACACAUGCAAAUCGAACGGUAACGGGCCUUCGGGUGCCGACGAGUGGCGAACGGGUGAGUAAUACAUCGGAACGUGCCCGAUCGUGGGGGAUAACGAGGCGAAAGCUUUGCUAAUACCGCAUACGAUCUACGGAUGAAAGCAGGGGACCGCAAGGCCUUGCGCGGACGGAGCGGCCGAUGGCAGAUUAGGUAGUUGGUGGGAUAAAAGCUUACCAAGCCGACGAUCUGUAGCUGGUCUGAGAGGAUGAUCAGCCACACUGGGACUGAGACACGGCCCAGACUCCUACGGGAGGCAGCAGUGGGGAAUUUUGGACAAUGGGCGCAAGCCUGAUCCAGCCAUGCCGCGUGCAGGAUGAAGGCCUUCGGGUUGUAAACUGAUUUUGUACGGAACGAAAAGCCUUCUUUUAAUACAGGAGGGUCAUGACGGUACCGUAAGAAUAAGCACCUGCUAACUACGUG
This 482-nucleotide ribosomal RNA is filed under the name uncultured bacterium. RNAcentral describes it as "partial 16S ribosomal RNA". It matches the Rfam family "Bacterial small subunit ribosomal RNA", at positions 30 to 507 of the family's 1533-position model. The record is from RNAcentral.